RNAcentral lists this ribosomal RNA (253 nucleotides) under uncultured bacterium. RNAcentral's name for it is "partial 16S ribosomal RNA". It matches the Rfam family "Bacterial small subunit ribosomal RNA", at positions 524 to 776 of the family's 1533-position model. The record is from RNAcentral.
UACGUAGGGGGCAAGCGUUGUCCGGAAUUAUUGGGCGUAAAGAGCUCGUAGGCGGUUUGUCGCGUCUGCUGUGAAAUCCCGAGGCUCAACCUCGGGUCUGCAGUGGGUACGGGCAGACUAGAGUGUGGUAGGGGAGAUUGGAAUUCCUGGUGUAGCGGUGGAAUGCGCAGAUAUCAGGAGGAACACCGAUGGCGAAGGCAGAUCUCUGGGCCAUUACUGACGCUGAGGAGCGAAAGCAUGGGGAGCGAACAGG